Molecule: ribosomal RNA, 144 nt
Filed under: Canis lupus (wolf)
Lineage: Eukaryota; Metazoa; Chordata; Mammalia; Carnivora; Canidae
Description: partial small subunit ribosomal RNA
Source: RNAcentral
ACAGACUACUAGCAAUAGCUUAAAACUCAAAGGACUUGGCGGUGCUUUAUAUCCCUCUAGAGGAGCCUGUUCUAUAAUCGAUAAACCCCGAUAAACCUCACCACCUUUCGCUAAUUCAGUCUAUAUACCGCCAUCUUCAGCAAA